RNAcentral lists this ribosomal RNA (587 nucleotides) under uncultured bacterium. RNAcentral's name for it is "partial 16S ribosomal RNA". It matches the Rfam family "Bacterial small subunit ribosomal RNA", at positions 355 to 937 of the family's 1533-position model. The record is from RNAcentral.
UGGGGAAUCUUCCGCAAUGGACGAAAGUCUGACGGAGCAACGCCGCGUGAGUGAAGAAGGUUUUCGGAUCGUAAAACUCUGUCUUUUGGGGCGAACGUGAGUAUGGUGAACAAUCAUAGUCAGUGACGGUACCAAAGGAGGAAGCCACGGCUAACUACGUGCCAGCAGCCGCGGUAAUACGUAGGUGGCAAGCGUUGUCCGGAAUUAUUGGGCGUAAAGAGCGCGUAGGCGGGAUAGUCAGUCUGUUGUAAAAGUGCGGGGCUCAACCCCGUGAUCGCAAUGGAAACAGCUAUUCUUGAGUGCAGGAGAGGAAAGUGGAAUUCCCAGUGUAGCGGUGAAAUGCGUAGAUAUUGGGAGGAACACCAGUGGCGAAGGCGACUUUCUGGACUGUGUCUGACGCUGAGGCGCGAAAGCCAGGGGAGCGAACGGGAUUAGAUACCCCGGUAGUCCUGGCCGUAAACGAUGGGUACUAGGUGUGGGAGGUAUCGACCCCUUCCGUGCCGGAGUUAACGCAAUAAGUACCCCGCCUGGGGAGUACGGUCGCAAGACUGAAACUCAAAGGAAUUGACGGGGUCAUAGCUGUUUCC